UCUCAAUGGGGCUGGGGGGUGGGGUGGGCAAAAUGAGGCAAACGCCACUCCCUGCUCAGCCUGCUUUCUCC
This 71-nucleotide microRNA precursor is filed under the name Notamacropus eugenii (tammar wallaby). RNAcentral describes it as "miRNA (ENSMEUG00000017041.1)". The record is from RNAcentral. Lineage: Eukaryota; Metazoa; Chordata; Mammalia; Diprotodontia; Macropodidae.